GCCCUGUGGAUAGCUCAGUUGGUAGAGUGUGAGACUCUCGAUCUUAGGGUCGUGGGUUCGAGCCCCAUGUUGGGCA
Podarcis lilfordi (Lilford's wall lizard) is the source of this 76-nucleotide non-coding RNA. The record is from the annotation of a GenBank genome assembly. NCBI's taxonomy places the organism in Eukaryota, Metazoa, Chordata, Lepidosauria, Squamata, Lacertidae.